RNAcentral lists this transfer RNA (67 nucleotides) under Echinostoma caproni. It matches the Rfam family "tRNA", at positions 8 to 63 of the family's 71-position model. Rfam says of the family: Transfer RNA (tRNA) molecules are approximately 80 nucleotides in length. The record is from Rfam by way of RNAcentral. Lineage: Eukaryota; Metazoa; Platyhelminthes; Trematoda; Plagiorchiida; Echinostomatidae.
UAGCUCAGCUGGUAGAGCAUGCGCGUACAAAGCGUAGGCGGCGUCCAUGCGUGGGUUCGAAUCCCAU